This 497-nucleotide ribosomal RNA is filed under the name uncultured bacterium. Its description in RNAcentral is "partial 16S ribosomal RNA". It matches the Rfam family "Bacterial small subunit ribosomal RNA", at positions 28 to 507 of the family's 1533-position model. The record is from RNAcentral.
GAUGAACGCUGGCGGCGUGCCUAAUACAUGCAAGUCGAGCGAACAGAUGGGGAGCUUGCUCCUCUGACGUUAGCGGCGGACGGGUGAGUAACACGUGGAUAACCUACCUAUAAGACUGGGAUAACUUCGGGAAACCGGAGCUAAUACCGGAUAAUAUAUUGAACCGCAUGGUUCAAUAGUGAAAGACGGUUUUGCUGUCACUUAUAGAUGGAUCCGCGCCGCAUUAGCUAGUUGGUAAGGUAACGGCUUACCAAGGCAACGAUGCGUAGCCGACCUGAGAGGGUGAUCGGCCACACUGGAACUGAGACACGGUCCAGACUCCUACGGGAGGCAGCAGUAGGGAAUCUUCCGCAAUGGGCGAAAGCCUGACGGAGCAACGCCGCGUGAGUGAUGAAGGUCUUCGGAUCGUAAAACUCUGUUAUUAGGGAAGAACAAAUGUGUAAGUAACUAUGCACGUCUUGACGGUACCUAAUCAGAAAGCCACGGCUAACUACGUG